Molecule: unclassified non-coding RNA, 105 nt
Filed under: Bdelloidea sp. NPS-2005
Lineage: Eukaryota; Metazoa; Rotifera; Eurotatoria
Description: spliced leader RNA
Source: RNAcentral
GGCUUAUUACAACUUACCAAGAGGUAAAUGAUCAACUCUGAUCAAAUACAUGUUGCGAUGACGAAAUCGUGCGGGCUGGUAGCAAUACUAGCCUGCCAGAGCAAC